Solanum tuberosum (potato) is the source of this 759-nucleotide long non-coding RNA. RefSeq lists it as uncharacterized. Lineage: Eukaryota; Viridiplantae; Streptophyta; Magnoliopsida; Solanales; Solanaceae. The record is from RefSeq and is a predicted model, not a curated record. The transcript is spliced from 3 exons.
CACAAAUGUCACCAUCCAAACAAAACAAAAAUACCAAAAGAAAAUACAGAAGGAACUUUCCAAAAUACAUUGGUUAGUCCAGAUCUACAACUAUGGUGGUUUUGAGAAACCUUCUUCUUUCACUUCAUCUCAGCCCCUUCAGCUUCUUUCCAGCGAGGUAGUCACCCUUCGCGGCGAUUAACCGGAAUACCAACGACCCCAACAUCACUCAGAUCCAGCUCACUGGUGACUCGGGAGUUCUCAGUCAAAACCUAAUUUCGUGGAUAAACGGUAGCUCUUCUAUUUCAAAAUCAAUUUUGGGGAUUUCUUGUUAUAUCGAGUUUCACGAUAAAUUAUGGCUAUAAAUCUUCCGAAAAGCUUGGAAUCAAGUUAAUUUUUUUGUGUUAGAGCCUUGAGGUAUGUUUUUUUUUCCUUACAAAAUAGUAGAAGGAAUGCUUGAAUUUUAGAAUUUCUAUCUUCUCGAAUUUAUAUCGUUUUGGUUAUAUAGAAUAAUCACUCAAGAAAUUCUGAUUUGUAAAUUGUGUUUUCAUUUUGAAUUGAUGCAUCUUGUUGAUGCAAAGAGAAACAAUGAAAAAAAAUGUUCACAUGAAAAUGGAAUGGAAGACUAUAACAGGUUGACCUGCAAUCGGCCUCUACUAAAAUUGAGUUCAUUUUCCAAAUUUUAAAUGAAACAUUAGGUGACAGUACAUUUAUUUUGAUUUGCUUGUUAUAUUUUGAACUAACAUUAAUAUUUAAUUUACUUUCAUAUGUGUUUUUCAU